Physeter macrocephalus (sperm whale) is the source of this 860-nucleotide long non-coding RNA. RefSeq lists it as uncharacterized. NCBI's taxonomy places the organism in Eukaryota, Metazoa, Chordata, Mammalia, Artiodactyla, Physeteridae. The transcript has 4 exons. The record is from RefSeq and is a predicted model, not a curated record.
CUGAACAAACCUCAGGACAUUCCCCCUGCCUCAGUUUCCUCAUCUCGAAAAUGGAGUUAGUGGUGAAGUUCUGAGGUUCUGUCUGUCUCCUUCCCUCCGGAUUCCUGGCACACCCAGCCCCAUCACGGGGUUGAGAGCAGUGACUCGGCAGAAAUGAAAGCUCGAGACUGCUAGCAACCCAAUGAGGACACACGGUCCAGGAACAAGCUGUGGAACUAGGAUUGUGCCCGCCUCCGUCACUCCGGUGCCUCACUUGUAGAUUUGUACUUCUCCUCCCUGCAGCCUGAGAUUUUGUCAGAGAAGAGGCCCAGUGGCGGUGAAUGAACAGCCCCUGCAGGGUCUGGCCAGGCAACUGCAGGCCAACAGUGCCUCACCCUGAGUUACAUCUCUCUUCCUGCCCUGGGAGUUCACUGAUGCCCCGUAUGGGAUGUCCCUUUCCCCAUCAGGAACCCACUCAGAGAUCAGCUGUAACACCAUUCAGGCCAAGCCUUGAUCCAAGGGAGACGGAGCUAUGGGGUGCCUCCCCCUUUCUUCCCCCAGGCAGAUGGUCCCAAGAUGCAUUUCAUAAGGAAUCUCGGACAACCUGGGGGCCUGGGCACCCAGGUUGCCUUAAUGGGUCUUUAAAGAGGUAAUUAAGUUAAAAUGAGGUCAUCAGGAUGGCCCUAAUCCAAUAUGACUGGUGUCCUUCUAAGAAGAGGAGAUCGGGACGCAGACACGCACAGAGGAAGGAUCAUGUGAAGACACAGCAAGAAGAUGGCCACCUACAAGCCAAGGAGGGAGGCCUCAGAAGAAACCAACUCUGCCUAUACCUUGACCAUGGGUUUCCAGUCUCCAGGCUAGAAGAAAAUAAAUUUCUGUUG